UUUUUGAUCCACGCACGCCUUUGUUUUGGCUUCCCAGGUGCCAAGGGAAAACGGCUAGCAGUGAGUGCGUUCGUUUCCCGGCCUCCCUCGGCAGCCAGCCCCUCUGGCUCAGCCAGCUGGAUCACACUGAAUUAGUCAAGUACUUCAUUACCGACCCUCUCUGCACAUUUUGCUCCAGAAAGGUCCAUGGAGGCAGAGAGGAUGUGCAGAUCAAAUAAGAAAGGAGAAGGAGGUCUGAGGGAAAAACACUAAUGAAAUACAUGUGACGACACCGAAGGCAUCGCAGAUUAACACCAGCGAAAUGAGCCACGGGCACCUGAUCUCCCAGCUUUGGCCAGAACCUCCUAGAAACUCACCAGCUCUCUACUGUUCCUUGCUUGGCAGUCUCUCUCAGCUGUACCUGCGUAACAGAAGGAGACACAACUGGGGAUUUUGCUUUUGUUUUGUAGUUUGCUUGUUGUUUAUUUGUUUGCUCUGAGUAGUUUUACUCUGGUCUGAACAGGGAGAAGGCACUCUGUGCAUUUUUGGUUUUUGGCAGGGCGCCGGUCUAAACAGUUUAUUUUCUAAAAUAUAUCUAUCUGCCAAUUA
Long non-coding RNA from Felis catus (domestic cat), 588 nucleotides. RefSeq lists it as uncharacterized. The transcript has 3 exons. NCBI's taxonomy places the organism in Eukaryota, Metazoa, Chordata, Mammalia, Carnivora, Felidae. The record is from RefSeq and is a predicted model, not a curated record.